Molecule: non-coding RNA, 215 nt
Filed under: Bacillota bacterium
Lineage: Bacteria; Bacillati; Bacillota
Description: Firmicutes bacterium T-box sequence
Rfam family: T-box leader
About the family: Uncharged tRNA acts as the effector for transcription antitermination of genes in the T-box leader family. T-boxes are found upstream of many aminoacyl-tRNA synthetase genes and some amino acid biosynthetic genes usually in Gram-positive bacteria.
Source: RNAcentral
AUAAAAACAUUGAAAAGAAGAAGUACAGAUUGAAAGUUUUUCAGAGAAGCGACGGUUGGUGCGAGUCGUGAAAACGGAAGAUCCGGAACGUGUCUUGGAGUUGUGUUAUCGAACAAAUGGUGAGGUGACACCGUGAAUUCGCGUUAAGAAUGAGUUGUCGUCCAUAUCGGGUGGACGGAAGUAAGGUGGUACCGCGUGCUCAUAGCGUCCUUUCG